Molecule: ribosomal RNA, 500 nt
Filed under: uncultured bacterium
Lineage: Bacteria
Description: bacterial SSU rRNA
Rfam family: Bacterial small subunit ribosomal RNA
Source: RNAcentral
AGAGUUUGAUCAUGGCUCAGGAUUAACGCUGGCGGUAUGCCUAACACAUGCAAGUCGAACGGAAUACUAAUUAAGAGAAUCUCACACUAGUGAGAGGUUCUCACGAGUAGUAUUUAGUGGCGGACGGGUGAGUAACACGUUGGAACCUGCCCCGAAGUGGGGAAUAACUGCUCGAAAGAGUAGCUAAUACCCCAUAGUAUCCGGUUUAUCCGGAUUAAGGAUUUAUCGCUUCGGGAGGGGCCUGCGUCUGAUUAGCUAGUUGGUGAGGUAAAAGCUCACCAAGGCGACGAUCAGUAGCUGGUUCGAGAGGAUGACCAGCCACACUGGGACUGAGAUACGGCCCAGACUCCUACGGGAGGCAGCAGUGAGGAAUCUUCCACAAUGGGCGCAAGCCUGAUGGAGCAAUACCGCGUGCAGGAAGACGCUUUUCGGAGUGUAAACUGCUUUUGUCGUCGAAGAUUAUGACUGUAGACGAAGAAUAAGGACCGGCUAACUACGUG